RNAcentral lists this ribosomal RNA (538 nucleotides) under Pichia manshurica. Its description in RNAcentral is "eukaryotic LSU rRNA". It matches the Rfam family "Eukaryotic large subunit ribosomal RNA", at positions 103 to 667 of the family's 3401-position model. The record is from RNAcentral. Lineage: Eukaryota; Fungi; Ascomycota; Pichiomycetes; Pichiales; Pichiaceae.
AAGAGUUCAGAUUUGAAAUCGUGUUUCGGCACGAGUUGUAGAGUGUAGGCGGGAGUCUCUGUGGAGCGCGGUGUCCAAGUCCCUUGGAGCAGGGUGCCUGAGAGGGUGAGAGCCCCGUAGGGUGCUGCGCGAAGCUUUUGAGGCCCUGCUGACGAGUCGAGUUGUUUGGGAAUGCAGCUCCAAGCGGGUGGUAAAUUCCAUCUAAGACUAAAUAUUGGCGAGAGACCGAUAGCGAACAAGUACUGUGAAGGAAAGAUGAAAAGCACUUUGAAAAGAGAGUGAAACAGCACGUGAAAUUGUUGAAAGGGAAGGGUAUUGGGCUCGACAUGGGGGGUGCGCACCGCUGUCUCUUGUAGGCGGCGCUCUGGGCGCCCUCUGGGCCAGCAUCGGUUCCUGCUGCGGGAGAAGGGGCUCCGGAAAGUGGCUCUUCGGAGUGUUAUAGCCGGGGCCAGAUGCCGCGUGUGGGGACCGAGGACUGCGGCUUCUGUCUCGGAUGCUGGCAUAACGGCGCAAUACCGCCCGUCUUGAAACACGGACC